Molecule: ribosomal RNA, 440 nt
Filed under: uncultured bacterium
Lineage: Bacteria
Description: partial 16S ribosomal RNA
Rfam family: Bacterial small subunit ribosomal RNA
Source: RNAcentral
CCUACGGGAGGCAGCAGUGGGGGAUAUUGCACAAUGGGGGGAACCCUGAUGCAGCGACGCCGCGUGGGUGAAGAAGCGCCUCGGCGCGUAAAGCCCUGUCAGCAGGGAAGAAAAUGACGGUUACUGAAGAAGAAGCCCCGGCUAACUACGUGCCAGCAGCCGCGGUAAUACGUAGGGGGCAAGCGUUAUCGGGAUUUACUGGGUGGAAAGGGGGCGCAGACGGCGAUGCAAGCCAGGAGUGAAAGCCCGGGGCCCAACCCCGGGACUGCUCUUGGAACUGCGUGGCUGGAGUGCAGGAGGGGCAGGCGGAAUUCCUGGUGUAGCGGUGAAAUGCGUAGAUAUCAGGAGGAACACCGGUGGCGAAGGCGGCCUGCUGGACUGCAACUGACGUUGAGGCCCGAAAGCGUGGGGAGCAAACAGGAUUAGAUACCCCGGUAGUC